UUUUAUGUUUUUGUUGAUGUUCACAUUGACGAUAAGCCGUACAAUCGGGCGGCUCCAUCGUCUGAAUUGUAGUCUGGAGAAGCGUCCUCAACUGCGGAAUGGGCCCGAGUCCCCUGUUAGGGGGCACCAGAGAGGGUGGGAAACCCAUCGUAACCAGACCCUAAUGGACCACAAGGCGCAGUGUACGAGUCAGGUCAUUGUGUAAUGCCGCCCAAAUUGGGCAGUGAAUUCCAUCCAAGGCUAAAUACUGGCGAGAGAUCGAUAGAAAACAAGAACCGCGAGGGAAAGAUGAAUAAGACUUUGAAAAUAGAGUCAAAGAGUGCUUGAAAUUGUUUGGAGGGAAGCGGAUGGGGUUAGGCGGUUCACUCACUUGAAUGUGAAACGGUGACAACACGAUUCGCCGAUCGACUCGUGGCAUGGACUAAAAUAAAUUGGGGGCGGCCGAAGUCCGGGCUGUCUAUACUCCCGUGGAACGCCGUCUCCUUGAUUGUGGAAGACAGCACGCGCCUAUGUCGUGCUUCGACAUCUUCGCACUCUAGACAUUGGCAUGUGCGCUCCGCAUUCGACCCGUCUUGAAACACAGACCAAGGAAUCUUACAUAUGUGUGAGUCAACGAGCGAGUAAACCCGUAAGGUGCAACGAAACUGAUUGGUGGGAUCCCCCAAGGGGUGCACCGCCGAUCGGCCAUGAUCUUCUAGGAAGGGUUCGAGUAUGAGCAUACAUAUCAGCACCCGAACGAUGGUGAACUAUGUCAGAGCCAGAGGAAACUUUGAUGGAGGGCCGCAAGGAUACCGACAUACAAAUCGUUCGUCUGACUUGGGUAUAUGGACGAAAGACUAAUCGAACCGUCCAGUAGCUGGUUCCCUCUUAAUUUUCCCUCAAGAUAGCUGGAGCUCGCGUGCGAGUUCAAUCAGGUAAAUCCAAUGAUUAGAGGCCUCGGGGCCGCAAUGCCCUCGACCUAUUCUCAAACUUUAAAUAGGUAGGACGGUGCGACUAUGGAUGGCGCUUAAGCGCGCAACCUACACCCGGCCGUCGGGUCAAGUUCCAGGCUUCGAUGAGUAUGAGGACACGACGGUCCUUGCAAAACCUUGGGCGUGAGCCUAGGUUGAGCGGCCGUUGUUGCAGAUCUUUGUAGUAGUAGAAAAUAUUCAAAUUAGAACUUUGAAAGCCGAUGAAGAGAAAGGAUCCAUGUGAAUGGCACUUGCUCAUGGGUAUGCCGAUCCUAAGGGUUAAGGGAACCCCGACAGAUAGCACGUUUCAUGCGUACUCCGAUAUGCAAUUUGGUUAACAUUCCUUAACUGGGACAUGGUGUUACUCUUCAAUACAGUCACUAUCAACAUUCAUGAUCACUUUCGCUAGUGCCUCAACACAAAUAUGCUCUUCUAUUUGUACCUCGGAAGAAUUCUCUACCUUGUAGGGUAUCACAGAU
RNAcentral lists this ribosomal RNA (1429 nucleotides) under Solanum lycopersicum (tomato). Its description in RNAcentral is "Eukaryotic large subunit ribosomal RNA". It matches the Rfam family "Eukaryotic large subunit ribosomal RNA", at positions 1 to 1790 of the family's 3401-position model. Lineage: Eukaryota; Viridiplantae; Streptophyta; Magnoliopsida; Solanales; Solanaceae. The record is from Rfam by way of RNAcentral.